Molecule: ribosomal RNA, 327 nt
Filed under: uncultured bacterium
Lineage: Bacteria
Description: bacterial SSU rRNA
Rfam family: Bacterial small subunit ribosomal RNA
Source: RNAcentral
GACGAACGCUGGCGGCGUGCUUAACACAUGCAAGUCGAACGAGGCCCGAGGUGCUUGCACUUCGAGAGUCGAGUGGCGGACGGGUGAGUAACACGUGACCAAUCUGUCUUCAGGAGGGGGACAACCCGGGGAAACCUGGGCUAAUACCGCAUAUCGUCCAGAAAUCGCAUGAUUAUUGGAUAAAAGAGGGCCUCUGCUUGCAAGCUCUCACCUGAAGAGGAGGUCGCGACGUAUCAGCUUGUCGGUGGGGUAACGGCCUACCAAGGCUACGACGCGUAGCGGGUCUGAGAGGACGACCCGCCACAUUGGGACUGAGAUACGGCCCAG